GUUUGAAUGAUGAUUUUAUUUCUUUUGUCGGAUACCCCUUCACUCUUCAAUGAGUGAGAUCCCUCUUCUGACAGAC
RNAcentral lists this small nucleolar RNA (76 nucleotides) under Xyrichtys novacula (pearly razorfish). It matches the Rfam family "Small nucleolar RNA SNORD101". From Rfam's summary of the family: snoRNA U101 is a member of the C/D class of snoRNA which contain the C (UGAUGA) and D (CUGA) box motifs and guide the 2'-O-methylation of rRNA and snRNAs. The precise target of this family is unknown. Lineage: Eukaryota; Metazoa; Chordata; Actinopteri; Labriformes; Labridae. The record is from RNAcentral.